This 215-nucleotide unclassified non-coding RNA is filed under the name Hutsoniella sourekii. Its description in RNAcentral is "Facklamia sourekii 16S-23S ribosomal RNA intergenic spacer". The record is from RNAcentral. Lineage: Bacteria; Bacillati; Bacillota; Bacilli; Lactobacillales; Aerococcaceae.
AGUAUUUGGAAACCUACACGAAGUCUUUGUUCAGUUUUGAGUGAGCUUUCACUCAGCGAUCAUUGAAAACUGAAUAUCAAUCCCUCAAUUUAUUCGAUGCGAGUAGAUUGAGGAGAAACACAAAUAAUUUCUUAGUAAAUGAUGAUAUAAUCAAACCGAGAAUUGACCGAGUCUAUGAUGAAAGUUAUAGAACAAUAGCGCAAAAAUAAUUGUGG